Molecule: long non-coding RNA, 210 nt
Filed under: Elaeis guineensis (African oil palm)
Lineage: Eukaryota; Viridiplantae; Streptophyta; Magnoliopsida; Arecales; Arecaceae
Description: long non-coding RNA (EGUI_LNC056352)
Source: RNAcentral
UAACAAAAGAUGUAGAGAAAAUCAUUUCUCAUGAGAGAUAGAAAAUAUAGAGAUGAUCUUAGAACCUACAACGAGGUGAUGUGAGAUAUCGACUCCAAGAAAAGAUAUGAAAUAGCUUUCCUGAGUAGAGAUCUUUUGAAGAUUUUUAUAUGAAAUAGCCUACGAAUUUCACUUCUUAUGAUAGGUGAUCACAAAGACCACAAUACCCUU